Molecule: long non-coding RNA, 869 nt
Filed under: Zostera marina
Lineage: Eukaryota; Viridiplantae; Streptophyta; Magnoliopsida; Alismatales; Zosteraceae
Description: long non-coding RNA (ZMAR_LNC001319)
Source: RNAcentral
ACGGGAAGAAGCUGAACGGACAGAGAGCCCCAACGGGAGUGCGACGGUAACGAACGGGAGCGCGAGUUCUGCGAAACCUCUGCUCGGGAGAGUGAGCACGCCUCCGCUGUGAGUGCAAGCACGCCUCCGGCAGAGAGACGCGAGCACGCCGCCGUUAGGAACCUCCGCCAUCUGCGAGAGACGCGAGUGCUACGCUUCAUCCGGUCAACCGCGAUCUCACCGUCCUUCCACUAUCCUCCGGCCAACGAGAAACUCCCUCAGCCGCCAAGACAGAUUAGGGUUGAUCCCACAAGGGAUCCCCAAAUUUGGAUCGGCGAGUGGAAAGGAGACUCGGCGAGAGUACGAGAACCCUUCCAACUGCCCAGACAGACUAGGGUCGAUUCCGUAAGGAAUCCCCAUUCUUAUAUAGGCGAGUUGGGGGGGCUUAUCGGCGAGUGUGAGAAGGCUAUCGGCGAGUGGGAUAGGGUAUCGGCGAUUCUUGUAUUAAUUCGGCGGGAAAGAAGCUAUUGGGAGUGAAUAACCACUCAAAAUACACACUAUUGAACCCACUUAAAAUCUACUCAAAAUCUGUGUGAUCGUCGAUUGGAGUCUUUAAAUCGGCGAGUAAUCGGCGAGUUGGAACUUGGCUCACUUUAAAUCGGCGAUUUCACGGCGGAAUCGGCGAGUUGGAAGUGAACUCUUUCACUCUGGAAUCGGCGAGUUAGAGGGACUUUAAGCACGACAAAUCGACGAGUAGCUUUUGGGGAUCUAUCAAGUGGUGAUAUUAACUAAAACAAUUGGGUUGAAGAUUUGGAUUGAAUUUUGAGGGGUGAAACUAAUUAAUCAAAUAUUAUCACUACUAAGCAAGGUUAUCGUUACGAUUGAGAAGG